This 258-nucleotide long non-coding RNA is filed under the name Gossypium barbadense (sea-island cotton). Its description in RNAcentral is "long non-coding RNA (GBAR_LNC018048)". The record is from RNAcentral. Lineage: Eukaryota; Viridiplantae; Streptophyta; Magnoliopsida; Malvales; Malvaceae.
AAAAAAAAAAAAAAAAAAAAAAAAGAGUCUGGAGACACUUCAAUAGAAAUUUUUCCAAAAUCUCAUUUUACACCCUUUUAUAUCCCCCGUAGUGAAAUUUCACGCAAUUAAAAAAAAAAAUUUCGAUAUAAAAAAAAAGUGUUUCGAGUUUGUAAGUUUGGCAUUUUCUUCCAUUCAUCUUCUAAGCCACACUUAGCCUAAAACCUUUCUUGUUUCUUUUAGCCUACCCGUAACCUAACAUCAAUCCCUUGUAAAGCC